This is a long non-coding RNA of Diachasma alloeum, 2487 nucleotides long. RefSeq lists it as uncharacterized. The transcript has 3 exons. NCBI's taxonomy places the organism in Eukaryota, Metazoa, Arthropoda, Insecta, Hymenoptera, Braconidae. The record is from RefSeq and is a predicted model, not a curated record.
CAAUUUUUUUCAGAUUUUUUCGAAAUUCUAUUUCCGAGAUAUGAUUUUUUUUUUUCAAUAACUCUGGUUCUAUUCAACCGAUUUUAGUUUAUGACGGCUCAAACUUUUCCAUUUUCUACCAUCUAUAAGAAAAUUUUUCGUAGUUUUUUUCUAAUCUCUAAGUGCUCAUAAUACAGAAUUUUCAAAAAAAAAAAUUGAAAAAUUUCAAUUUUCAAAAUUAUAUCACCAUUUAUUUUUCUUAUUUUUCAAAAAUAAUUCUUAUCAUCAAAACAAGUAUUUUUAGCUGUCAUACAAUUUGGAUUUCGUCCUGGAUCUAUUUAAUUUUUAAUUUUUUCUUCUCGAAAUUCCGCGAGUUUGGUCAAAACACUCCAAAAUGACUUCGAUUAUGUGUAAAAAAAAUGUAACGUAUAAGAAUACGUUACAUUUCAUACGUACGUUCAUUUCAAGAAUACGUUCAUUUCACUUCAUACUGUUUAUAAUGAAAGUUAAUCAACGCCAUUUUGGGGUAUACUGAAUUUUGCCAAAGAAAUAACCUCGAUCAGAGUGGUGGGGAGCACGAGCCUAAGUGGGGAUUUGGAUAGAGUGGGGGUAUACGACUGAGGUUACUCCUUUGGCAAGAAGCACCUUAUGUUGACCAAAGUCGUGGAAUUUCGAGAUGAAAAAAUUGCAAAUCAGUCAGGUCAUACGUUCUGUUGUUGAAGAGUUUUUAAAAAUUAUGGAGUCUGCUAGAGCGAUUCGAACAAAAACACCAAAAUCGUACGAAGUUUGAAAUUUCUGUCUCGAUUAUUUUUCAAGUUAUCGUGGCAACAAGCGAUUUAGUCGAAAAAAUGACAAUAAAACUCAAUUUUCCAUAGCGAGGUGAUUAAAUUUCCAUGUCUCGAGAUAGGUAUCAUCGUGACGAAUAUUAAAAAAAAAAAAGAAAUUGGUCCAGUCAUUCCGGAGAUAUUUGCAAAAAACGAUUUUUGAGAAAUCUCUAUAUCUCAAGAACUACUGAACCGAUCGGGCUGAAAUUUAGCACAGAUUUGUGUUUCAUUAGUUCCAACUAUGAGCCAAAAUUUCAGCUUUUUUGUAUGAUUAUAUCGGAUUUAUUAACACACUUCUGGACAAACACACACAUACACACAUCAUAUCUCGACGUUUCAGACCACCCUGAGUCAUGUCGAAGCAAAAUUGGAGAAUCGACAAAAAUUGCAUUUUUAAGACGUCCAUUCGGAAGCAAACAAGAAGUGGAAUAUCUCAAGAACUACUAGACCGAUAUCGCCCAACCGAAAUAUCAACCUUUGGGAUCAUAAGAGCUACUUCCCCACCAAAUUUCAAACUCCUAUCUCAAUUUUUCCUCAAGUUAUCGUGCGAACAAUGAAUUUAAGGACAAAAUCGAAAAUGGUCAAUAUCUCGGAAACUUCGUAUGGGCGACUAUGCAUAUUCCGAUUGAUCUAGAUAGAAGACGCUGAGAUGACGUAUGACUUACGGAGGAAUGGUGCGCGAUCAUGAAUUGUCAUAAGUUUGGACUCUCCUAUUAAAACAUUGGUUGCUGUACUCCGCCUAUAACCCAGCGCCAAUCGGAUGGCCGCGUGUUGGAUGGAUUUGAGUUUUACCUGGUAAUUUUUGGUGCUUGAAAAGGUCUUCCCCACCAGGUUAUACGUAGGAAUUUUAUGAUAUUCAGAGCUUUGAGACAUCGCUGCUGUACUAUGGAUGUUUGGUGAUUAAAAGUUAAUUUUUGAUCAAAAUGGAUGUUUAAAAAUUUCGCGGUGGGUGAGGAGGCUGCCUGGUGUAUAUCUAUUCUGAUCUUAGUAUUUUCUGAUGGUGAGACUUUGCGACUGAAGCGCAGGGCAACUGUUUUUUCUGGAGCGAUGUUUAGACCUAGUGCCCUCAAGUUGGAAAUAAGUUGAUCAAUUGAAUUUUCUAGAAUGGCUUUAUCUGCUUUGUAGAUCGAAAUACGGAUGAAUAAGGCUAUGUCAUCGGCGAAUAGUGAUGCAUUAACUCUGUGGUGGAGUUUCUUCGAAAUGUUUCUGGCGUAAAGUGUGUACAGGAGUGAAGAAAGUACUCCACCCUGAGGCAGACCUUUGUAAGUGAAUUUGGUGUUGUUUGUUAGAGUGUCGCAGUGAAUUAUUCAUUUACACGUGAGGAAUUUUAUGAAAUGGAUGAUGGUAUUGGAGCAACCGAUUUCGGCGAGAAUAUCAGGCAGGGUGUCGCCAACGACAUUGUCGAAAGCGUUCGUGACAUCUAGAAAAAUGGCAAGUGUGUGUUCCUGGUCGCGGAAGGAGUCCUCGACAUAUCGAGUGAGUGACCAGGUUGUCUCUAUAUGACAGACCCGGUCUGAACCCUGUUUGUGCUGGAGAAAUGUAAUUAUUGUGGCUCACCCACCACUGUAGUCUAUUUCAUAGUUGCCAGACUUGGCGACUUGUCGCCAAAAUAUCUGGCACCAUAGUUCAACUGAAAAAUAUUGAAAUAAAUCAAUAAUAAUUAGAAAAAUACCGUUAGAAGGGC